CUUAUUAAUAUAUAAAAACAUUUAUAGACCAUUGUCUUAAGAAAUGCAGUGUGAUGAUAUUUCAAUUUGAGUAAAAAAUGAGGCUCUCAAUUACAGCAUUUCUUUCACUGCUAAUGAGAGAGAAUCUAAUCUUUCUAUGAAGAGAGAGAAAGUCUCACAUUUCCUAGUGUGUUCCAGGAUCUCCUGUAUUCUUUACAUUUGGAGGAAUCAACCAUGAAGGAGUUGGCCACGGUGUCAGCAUGUGAAGGCAGAGGAACUCCAGCUCAGAGAGAGGCUUCCCUGGAUCCACUUGCCUCAACGACCCUCUGAUGGAAUCCAGGUGGGAGAAUGCAGCUGGGCAGCUUGGGAGGCUUGAAUGGAGGGGAGGGAACAGUGCUGCUUUAAGACCCAGGCCCACUCCUGGGGAAGUGAGCAGAGGGCUUGGAUCUUGUCUUCCUGGCAGGUUUGGC
Molecule: long non-coding RNA, 449 nt
Filed under: Homo sapiens (human)
Lineage: Eukaryota; Metazoa; Chordata; Mammalia; Primates; Hominidae
Description: HSALNT0127975
Source: RNAcentral